Molecule: unclassified non-coding RNA, 202 nt
Filed under: uncultured Thelephoraceae
Lineage: Eukaryota; Fungi; Basidiomycota; Agaricomycetes; Thelephorales; Thelephoraceae
Description: sequence contains ITS1
Source: RNAcentral
CCGAGUCGUCGACAUGGGUUGUUGCUGGUCCUCAAAUGGGGGCACGUGCACGCUCUGUUCACACAUCCACUCACACCUGUGCACCCUCCCCGUAGUUCUGUGGUCUGGGAGACGUGUCGUCUUCCUCCCGUAGUCCUACGUCUUUACACACGCACUGUAAUAAAGUUUAUGGAAUGCAUGACGCGUUUAACGCAAUACAAUA